Molecule: ribosomal RNA, 207 nt
Filed under: uncultured bacterium
Lineage: Bacteria
Description: partial 16S ribosomal RNA
Rfam family: Bacterial small subunit ribosomal RNA
Source: RNAcentral
CACGUAGGCGGCUUGUUAAGUCGGAUGUGAAAGCCCCGGGCUCAACCUGGGAACUGCAUUCGAUACUGUCAGGCUAGAGUAUAGAAGAGGCAAGUGGAAUUCCGGGUGUAGCGGUGAAAUGCGUAGAUAUCCGGAGGAACAUCAGUGGCGAAGGCGACUUGCUGGUCUAAUACUGACGCUGAGGUGCGAAAGCGUGGGGAGCAAACG